GCGUCGAGUGGCGGACGGGUGAGUAACGCGUGGGUAACCUACCCUGUACAGAGGAAUAGCCAUUGGAAACGAUGAUUAAUGCCUCAUAAGACCACAGCAACGCAUGUUGCAGUGGUAAAAACUCCGGUGGUACAGGAUGGACCCGCGUUAGAUUAGCUAGUUGGUAAGGUAAUGGCUUACCAAGGCUACGAUCUAUAGCCGACCUGAGAGGGUGAUCGGCCACACUGGAACUGAGACACGGUCCAGACUCC
RNAcentral lists this ribosomal RNA (251 nucleotides) under uncultured bacterium. RNAcentral's name for it is "partial 16S ribosomal RNA". It matches the Rfam family "Bacterial small subunit ribosomal RNA", at positions 88 to 339 of the family's 1533-position model. The record is from RNAcentral.